Molecule: long non-coding RNA, 700 nt
Filed under: Homo sapiens (human)
Lineage: Eukaryota; Metazoa; Chordata; Mammalia; Primates; Hominidae
Description: HSALNT0330628
Source: RNAcentral
CUAUGGUUUAGCCCUGAUCCACAAGGACCAGUCACUGAGCUGUGCACUGCUGCUUCUACUAACUUGCUUUCUUCCACUGCUGGCUCACUCUUGAAUUCUUUCCUGAGCAAAGCCAGGAACCCACCCAUGCUAACCCCCGCUUUUGGGACUCGCCUGCCCUGCAUCAAGAACAUCAAUAAAAGAAGAAGAAUUCUGAAUGCCAAAAAAAUGCUACUGCUCACUUUUCCUCAAACUGUCUAUGGUGAAAGAGAAUUGUUCAUGGCCUGAAAUAAUGAAGGCAACAUGCACUGAGGAGUGAUUCUGCAUUGUCUCUAUAGGGUGCAUGGGAUAAUUGGUUCUGAGCUGGCUUUGAACUCCUUGGAUCAAGUGAUCCCUGCUCCUCAACCUCCCAAGCAGAUGUGACUACAGGCAUGCACCACCAUGCCUGGAUACGCCACCUCAGUAUUUUUAUGUUUGCUCUUUGUAUUAUACAUCUUUUUUCAUCUUUUAUAUUUAACCUAUUCAUGUAUUUGAAUCUAAAGUCUGCCUUCUGUAGACAGCAGACAAUAGGAUAUAUUUUUGUUUUUAAAUCCAGUCUGAUAAUUUUUGCCUUUUCAUUAUUUUAUCCCUUUACAUUUAAUGUUAUUAUAAUAUAGUUGAAUUUUUAUUUACCGUGUUACUUGUUUUCUAUAUGUUUCAUGGCUUUUUUGUUCCUUUAUUU